This 22-nucleotide microRNA is filed under the name Magallana gigas (Pacific oyster). Its description in RNAcentral is "Mgi-Mir-216-P1_3p* (star (passenger))". Lineage: Eukaryota; Metazoa; Mollusca; Bivalvia; Ostreida; Ostreidae. The record is from RNAcentral.
CAGGGUGCUCACUGAUAUACGA